This 5615-nucleotide long non-coding RNA is filed under the name Marmota monax (woodchuck). Lineage: Eukaryota; Metazoa; Chordata; Mammalia; Rodentia; Sciuridae. The record is from RNAcentral.
GCUAAAGCUUCAUUUUCUUUCUUUAAUAGACACUUAUUCAUUAAAGAGCUCACACAAGGAAUCCUGGAAUCAUGGGGCCCUUUCCCCUAGAGCCCUGGGCCCUCCUUACAUUAAAUUUGAUACCCUUCCUGCUUCUGGUGUUUGGAAGUAACUGCUCCCUCCCUGCACCUGCAGAGAGCCACAGGGGGAGCGGAGACUGCAGGGUAUGUGCCUGCUCCAGCCGCCUGUGGGAUCCACCAGCUGACAGAAUGAGCAUGGAGAGUUCCGUCUGCCUGUAGCCGACAGAAGACAGCUGUGUUCAUGGUCUGUGCUCUCUGUCUGGAUGUUGAUUCACCUGAAAUCACAGGUGAAAAUCCUCUCAGGCUUCCGCCUUUCAGUUUCCACCCCUGAGGCUGUUGCCCUGAGCCCCACUCCUCAGCCACAGCAGAGCUGGCCGUCCUCCCGAGUGGUCCCUGAGGGCAGAGGACAGCUGUGGACAGAGCGCUCCGGGAGGCCUGCCGUGGCACGGUGAGCCCGUAGGGUGUGAGGCAGUGCCCACAGGCACCGAGAAGGCCCUCCUCCAGGCCACGGAGUCCAGGGAAGACCAGCAGUGACCUGGGUUUUAAGCUCCAACUCCCACGUUUAAAACUGGCUUCCACAGGCGCUCACUGCACAGGGCACCACAAGGCCUCCGAGGCGCCACGGCCUCCCUGAAGAGCAGACCUGCACCUACAGGAAGAUUCUAGAGCUGUGCUUUCCGGUUCCGUUGCCUUUAGCUAAAACUAGCUAUUAAGAACCUGAAACGGGGCUGUGGCUCAGUGGUGGAGCACUCGCCUAGCACAGGCGAGGCCCUAGGUUCUAUCCUCAGCACCACUUAUAAAUAAGUAAAUAAAUAAAAUACAGGUAUGGUGUCGACUACAACUGAGAAGCAUUUUAAGAAAAGAAAAAAAGAAUCUGAAACAGGACUCAUGGAGCUGAGUUUUUAAUUAUUUAAAUUUCAAUUUAAAAGCAGAUAUUUAAUUUCAGUUAUUGGAAAACUUUUCAGGAUUUUUGUAACAACUCAGAUAAAACAAUCUACUUUUACAGCUGUGAAUUUUAUAACCCUUAAAUACUGAUCAAGUAUUUCUGAUGGAAAUUUAGCACUGAAAUUAAAUGUAAAAUGCGCCGAUAAAUGUAAAAUACCACAUAUCUAAGACCAAGCAUGAAAAAAGUACAAUGCAUAUCUCAUGAACAGAUUUUUAUAGUUUACAUAUUUAUGUAAUUAUACUUUGAAAAUACUGAUCUGAAAUUUUGCAUCAGAACUUUUAACAUUUUGAUGAGGCGACUAGAAAACACUAUACUAUGCAUCUAAGGGACAGCAGCACUGCUCUGCCCCUGACGGGAGUGACCUCAAGUCUCCUCUUUCUUCUCUUUACUCCUCUUCCCUCCUCUGAAUAACUCAUCCAUGGGAAAUGGACUAGGGCUCUUCUGCUGAGCUGUACCACGUGUCCAAUAAACAACCCCAUCAGCAGGUGUUGUCCGCUCACCCAGGAGAGGAGUCUGAGCAGGCGACCGUCCUCCCCUCUUCCCCAGGUCUGGUGCCUCCGCUCGACCAGCACGAAAGAGGCCAGCUCUGCCCUAGGGCAGGAUGUCCUCGUCCACUCAUCUCACAGGUGCCUGGCACCAGCAUGUGCCUGGCUCUGCUCUUGGCAUCGGGGCACAGCCUGCUUCACGGUCUUUUCUGUCGUGAAGUUUCCAGUCCAGAAUGUAGAUGACUUGGGAGAAGACAAGUGAAACACGCAGCUGCUGGAGUCCAGCUGUUCCCCUUGCUGGCCACAGCUCUGUGGGCAGCAAGCACCCACAGGAGUGCCAGCAAGGACUGAAACAUGAAGGUAGAACAUCACCCUUGUUUAACCCCGGCCAGGAAGGAGCCCAUUGGAUAACUCAGAUUUUUUUGCUAUUCUGCACGUUUGCAAAUAAUUGCAUGAGCACUUAUUGAUCAGCAUUGGUGUUGGAUGUGACAGGAAGAAAUAGGUAUGUGAAACCAUGUCAAAACAAGCAGCAGGGCACAGAGGCAGCCUUCUGAAUGGGAUCAGUAUUUCUCAACCAUAUGUCUGAUAAACGGUUAAUAUUUAAUGUGCAAAGAACUUGUGCAACAAUGAAAAAACAAAUGGAUUAAAAAUGGGAAAGAUACAUUUAAAGAAGAUAUACAAGUGCCCUAUAAGCACAUAAGAUAUUCAUGACCAGUUCUCAGGGAAAUGCAAGUCAAAGCCAUGAGAGAUUACUUCACACUUGUUGGUGUGGCCACUGGAAAGAAAGAAAGCCAGAAAAAUGUCCAGUAUAGGAGGAUAUGGGAAAAUAGGACACUCAUACACUAUUGAUGACUAUAUAACAGGAGGUAGCUACUUUGGAAAAUGGUGGCAGUUCCUCUAAAAUUUAAAAUUGAAUUACUAUAUGAUCUAGCCAUCCUUCUUUGGGGUGUAUAUCCUAAAGAAAUGAGAACCAGAUCACAAUGAGAUAUUUGCUUGCCCACAUUCAUUGCAGCACUAUUCACAAUAGCCAGGAGGUGAAAACAAUCUAAAUGUCUAUGGAUGGUGCCAUGGGUAAAGCAAAUGUGAGCUCUAUGAAUGGUGGAAUAUUAUUCCGUGUUAAAAAAAGAAGGAAAUCUUGUCUUAUGCUAUUACAUGGAUUCACCUUGGGACGUUGUGCUUGGCGAAUUAAGCCAAUAAUAGAAGAUAGAUAAAGCAUGACUCUACUAGUGUGGUAUUGAAAGUAAUCAAACUCUUAGAAACAGAGGUUGGUUGACAACCUCUGUGGUGGGUGGGGCCCUUUUUACUGGAGGUCCCGUGUCCUACCAUUAUUGAUGACAACUGGGGCCGUUGGUGGUGGAGCUUGUCUCCAGCCCCUCUCCCCCUGCAGUUCAGGGCCAGUGGUGGGUGUUUGGGGGCAAGUUCCAGCCUCUGAGGGUGGGGUGCGUUUUCCAGGUGACCAGUCUUCUUGCCGAAGCCAUCUAGGUCCUGUUCCGUGAGUCACCAUAUUAGCAGACAGUAAGUUCCAGUGGUUUGGGGAACUUGGCCGAGCCAAGGAUAAAUACUAAAUUUUGUUUUCAUUUUACCACAUGCUGAAUUUUGAUCUAUUUGUAUGGAUUUCAAAUUAGACUUUAUUAAGAUAAUUAUGUGAAUGACUUAAAACUUUUAAAAAGUGAUGAAAUACCCCGGUCUCCCCCUGACCUUUGCUUUAGGGCUUGGAUAAGUAUUCCUUCCCAGUCUUCCAGUUUCUUGUGGCUUCAUUUAAAAGAAAUAAGUUUAAUCUGUAUGGAAUUAUUUUGUCACAAUGAAAUGGAUGUGUUUUCUCUCAGAAUAACCAGUUAUCUUAAAUCCAUUUUGAAAUGAGCCUUUUCCCUUUGUCUGUGCCACUUUUCGUUGUAAAUCGUGUCUGUGUUUGGGGCUUAUCGGGUUUUCCACCUGUAUAGUGUUUCUUUAUGUUUUCAUUUUACUUCCACAACUUUACUUAGUAAAGUUUUAUAAUCCAUGAAUUACUGGGUAAUGUAAAUUGAUUUUUAUUUUAGACUUGAGAAAAUACAUCUGCCUUAGCAUGUUUAUUAUUAAUUUUUUUGGUAUUAUUAAGCAAUUCUAUUGUCUUCUCCUUUUUCAGUAGAUUACUUUUUAGAGCACUUUUGGGUUUACAGCAAGAUUAAGUGAAAGGUACAGAGAUUUCCUGUACAUCCCCGGUUCUCACACCAUCUCCUGUACCAACAUCUGCACAGAGAGGUGCAUUUCUGAGUCAAUGAACCUGUGGAAUUCAUCAUCACCCGGAGUACACAGUUGACAUGAGGGACCUCUUCUGUGUUCUGCAGUCUGUGUGUGGGGCAGAUGUGCGACGGCAGUGUCCACCAUCGUGGUAUCACAGAGACAGAUUCCCUGCUGAAUACCGUGUUCAUCCUGGCUUCCUCCAUCCCUGGCAACCACUGACCUUUGCACUGGCUCUGGGUUUCACCUUUGAGGGGUGUGAUGUACUUGGCACCACAGUGAGCGGCCUUUUGGAAUGGCUUCUUGGACUUAGCAGUGUGCGUUGGUUUCUUACGUGGCCUCUUUUUAUGGUUGAUGGUUCAUUUUUUUUUUUUUAAUCACUGAGCACUACCUGUUAUCUGGAUGUACCACAGCUUACGUACCCACUCACCCACUGAAGGGCAUCUUGGUUGCUCUGGAGUUUUGGCAGUGAUGAGAAAAGCCUAUAUACACGUCUGUGUGCUGGUUUUAGUGUGGACACAUGUCAGCUUUUCAGGGCUUUUGAGUAAGUAGCAGGGAACAUGCCUGCUGGGUUGUAAGGAAUGGACAGACUGUCUUCCAGGGUACAUGUGUCAUUUUGCAUUCCCGCUGCAGUGGAUGAGAGCGCCUGCUGCCCUGUUUUCUCGUCAGCACGUGGUGCUGUUUGUGUCUGGAGUCUGGCCGUGACGGGUGUGCAGUGCACCUUACCUGUCUGUGUUCCACACCACAUGUGCUGACUUGCAUCUGUCUCUCUCUUCCAUGGAGAUAGCUGGUCAGGCUGUUCUAGAAGUGUUCUUUGUGUAUUUUUGAUAGCAGUUCUCAGUAAGAUAUCUCUUGCAAAUAUCUUUUCCAAGUCUGGGUUUCUUCUCAUCCUCUGCAGUGUUUUAUUUGCCUCAUACAGUCCUGAGGGACAUGCUUUAUCACAAGAAGUGACAACAGCUUACUGUCUGGUUUUACUUAAGUAGAAAGGAACAGACGAAGAUCUUGUUUCUGCUUUAUGUUCUGCCUUCCUCCCGAGCACCAUGCUGUGACACCUAGCCCAGUCCUUGGCUCUCAGACCUCUGGAUGAGCAGGCAGCCCUGAUGCCUCCGUGUGCUCGCAAGGUUUAAUCCGAGAGAGAUUUCACAGUGUCUCAGCUGAGAGGUUGGUAAAUGUGUGCCGCAGAGGAUGUGGACCAGAGGGGAGAGAGUGGGAGGAGGGCCAUCCUGUGCAUGUCCUUCAUCAGGGGUCCACACAGCAACUGUCAGUGUGUGUGUGUGUUGGUGACAUUUGGGCUGGGGAGGUGCUCUGUGAUUUCUAGGAGGUCACAGAGUGUGUGAGCAGGGCCAACCACCCGAUAUUCACCCAGGACAGGCGCAGCCUGAGGACUGCUGUUCUACACACCAUGGAGUCACUAGGGCAGGCACAGCCUGAGGACUGCUGUCCUACACAUCAUGGAGUCACUAGGGCAGGCACAGCCUGAGGACUGCUGUUCUACACACCAUGGAGUCACUAGGGCAGGUGCAGCCUGAGGACUGCUGUCCUACACACCAUGGAGUCACUAGGGCAGGUGCAUCCUGAGGACUGCUGUUCUACACACCAUGGAGUCACUCAGGGCAGGGCGUGCCUUGAGGUCUACAUCUGGUUUCAGUGGUCCUCUGGCAAUAGUAGCAGGCCUGGGGGCUCAGCCCUUCUGCCUGGGGCAAGUGGCCCCUGGGAUCUGUUGAGUGACCAUGUUCUCUGAGCCUUUCAGCUCAGGGCUUGUGAGUUGGCCACAGCCUCAUCCUCAGUUCCCCUGUCACCAGAUCCUCCAGGCUGAUAAAAGGCCUGGCUUUGGUUUCACAGUUGACCUAGAUGCUGAAUUUCUCCAGAAUUACCAGUUUUUCAAUACCUUGAGUGUUUAAGAUUAUC